RNAcentral lists this ribosomal RNA (231 nucleotides) under uncultured bacterium. RNAcentral's name for it is "partial 16S ribosomal RNA". It matches the Rfam family "Bacterial small subunit ribosomal RNA", at positions 15 to 237 of the family's 1533-position model. The record is from RNAcentral.
GAUCAUGGCUCAGGAUGAACGCUAGCUACAGGCUUAACACACGCAAGUCGAGGGGCAGCAUGGUCUUAGCUUGCUAAGGCCGAUGGCGACCGGCGCACGGGUGAGUAACGCGUAUCCAACCUGCCUUACACUCUUGGACAGCCCUCUGAAAGGGAGAUUAAUACAAGAUGUUAUCAUGAGUAAGCAUUUUCGCAUGAUUAAAGGUUUACCGGUGUAAGAUGGGGAUGCGUU